GCCACAUUCUAUCCCCAGGGAGGGAGCUCAUAAAUAUUCACAUGUACUUGAGAGGGAGGGAGGCAGCAAGCCUGCUGUUGGGUGUCAUUGGAGAAUUCCCAUCUCCCAGUGACUGCAGAGGCAGCCUGGGAUUCGGAUGUGGUUCAGGCUGGGAAAAGAAAGGGAAGCCAGUCAUAACUUGAGAACCUGGAAGGAAGCGCCCCGCCUCCAUCCCAGGCUCCUAGGGCAGAGAAGCUCAGCCGGUCCCAGCACCCAGAAGGAAGCUCCCCCACUGCCAUCCCAAGCUCCUAGGCCAGAGAAGGUGAGCCGAGUGGGUGCCAGAAGCACACCCCCGUCCCGCCCCCCGUGGAAAUGAGAAAACACAUAAACAAGCCUCAAAAACAGACUUCCGGAUCACCUACAGCAACCCCAAAGGGAAACAAGGUGGAACAAUCUGAUACUUAACCACCUGGACUCUCUAAACUGUCAACAAAAGAGGAUCUGGGAAAAAUGAAAUCAGAAAUAAUUACUCAGCUAACAGCAAAGAUUUUGCUCAUGGUGCAAGACAUGAUUAAUAAAUCUAGAGAGGACACAGAUAAAAAAAUAGAGGAUCUGAGGAACAUGAUGGAAUCCCAACAUAGGAAACCCGAAAUCCAUAAAACAGAUACAAACAGAUUUCCAAGAGAUUAAAAA
Molecule: long non-coding RNA, 672 nt
Filed under: Heterocephalus glaber (naked mole-rat)
Lineage: Eukaryota; Metazoa; Chordata; Mammalia; Rodentia; Bathyergidae
Description: lncRNA (ENSHGLG00100041851.1)
Source: RNAcentral